This 917-nucleotide long non-coding RNA is filed under the name Nicotiana benthamiana. RNAcentral describes it as "long non-coding RNA (NBEN_LNC025319)". Lineage: Eukaryota; Viridiplantae; Streptophyta; Magnoliopsida; Solanales; Solanaceae. The record is from RNAcentral.
GGAAUUAAGAUCAAGUUAAGAUGAAAAAUAAGAUAAGUAAUGUCUACAACAGGUUAAAUUGUAUUGAUAGUGUAAGAUUUUCAUUACAAAAGAGAUCUUUACACAAAUAACCGAUAUGUUUGACUAUCUGUUUUUUGUAGUCGGUAUAUCUAGAUUAUAUACUAAUUGUACAUGGUUAUACACAUAUAAUAACAACAAUCCAGUAUAAUCCCACUUAUGGGGUCUGGGGAGGGUAGUGUGUACGCAAACCUUACCCCUACCCUUGGGUAGAGAGGCUGUUUCCAAAUAAACCCCCGGCAUCCUUCCCUCCAAGAACUUCUCACCUUGCUCUUGGGGAGUAUCGAACUUACAACCUCUCGAUUAGACGUGGGGUUGCUUACCAUCAGAGCAUCCCCUCUUAUCUUAAAUGGUAAUACACAGAAAACAAAUAAAAUUGUUGUAAUAAGAAUCUUGAGAGGUAACUUUGUUGGUUAGUUAUUGGAUGGUGUUGGACCUGAUAGGAGUUAUCUGUCGAUGGAUAUCCGUGCUCACUACAAUCGUGAUAACUUUUUAUACUAUCAGUAUAUAAACUCUUAUAAGUAUUGUUUAGUAGAAAAAGGAAGUGGUGGAGGACUAAGAUAUAAUCUCAUUACGACCAACAAAGUUCCUUUGAAAAACUUGGCUUGUCAUGUCUGUACGAGAAUUUGUGCCAGGAUUUGAUCCGGGAGAACGAACUGGACGCCAUUGCAGAGAUGGUAAUAAAAGAUAUUUACAUGUUCAAGAAAUCUUGCUGCUUCACUUGUUUUCAUGAUUGGGGAUAUAAAAAGCAGCAAGAUUAUACAAACAGUAUGAAAAUAAUUGUUAUUUUGUCUUGCCAUGUUGAUUUAAUUUGAUGGAAAAAAAUUAGAUUGGAAUUGAAGGAAUAUAUUUGAUUUUGU